Non-coding RNA from Ornithorhynchus anatinus (platypus), 138 nucleotides. NCBI's taxonomy places the organism in Eukaryota, Metazoa, Chordata, Mammalia, Monotremata, Ornithorhynchidae. The record is from Rfam.
CCCCUCUCAGGGUCACACCUGGAGAGUUUCCAGUACUCUACCAGUCUCGACUACAGGAGGGAAAGUCAAGCAGAGGCACAUCCAUUCCAUUCCUCACUUGGCCAAUGGCUAGUGAGUGGAAGGCAAUCUGCUACAAGC